GACGAACGCUGGCGGCGUGCUUAACACAUGCAAGUCGAACGGAAAGGCCCUGCUUUUGUGGGGUGCUCGAGUGGCGAAAGGGUGAGUAACACGUGAGUAACCUGCCCUUGACUUUGGGAUAACUUCAGGAAACUGGGGCUAAUACCGGAUAGUAGCUCCUGCUGCAUGGUGGGGGUUGGAAAGUUUCGGCGGUUGGGGAUGGACUCGCGGCUUAUCAGCUUGUUGGUGGGGUAGUGGCUUACCAAGGCUUUGACGGGUAGCCGGCCUGAGAGGGUGACCGGCCACAUUGGGACUGAGAUACGGCCCAGACUCCUACGGGAGGCAGCAGUGGGGAAUAUUGCACAAUGGGCGGAAGCCUGAUGCAGCAACGCCGCGUGCGGGAUGACGGACUUCGGGUUGUAAACCGCUUUCGCCUGUGACGAAGCGUGAGUGACGGUAAUGGGUAAAGAAGCACCGGCUAACUACGUG
This 468-nucleotide ribosomal RNA is filed under the name uncultured bacterium. RNAcentral describes it as "partial 16S ribosomal RNA". It matches the Rfam family "Bacterial small subunit ribosomal RNA", at positions 28 to 507 of the family's 1533-position model. The record is from RNAcentral.